This 253-nucleotide ribosomal RNA is filed under the name uncultured bacterium. Its description in RNAcentral is "partial 16S ribosomal RNA". It matches the Rfam family "Bacterial small subunit ribosomal RNA", at positions 524 to 776 of the family's 1533-position model. The record is from RNAcentral.
UACGAAGGGUGCAAGCGUUACUCGGAAUUACUGGGCGUAAAGCGUGCGUAGGUGGUGAGUUAAGUCUGUCGUGAAAGCCCCGGGCUCAACCUGGGAAUGGCGAUGGAUACUGGCUCGCUAGAGUGCGGUAGAGGAGAGUGGAAUUCCCGGUGUAGCAGUGAAAUGCGUAGAUAUCAGGAGGAACACCGAUGGCGAAGGCAGAUCUCUGGGCCGUAACUGACGCUGAGGAGCGAAAGCAUGGGGAGCGAACAGG